Molecule: unclassified non-coding RNA, 399 nt
Filed under: soil metagenome
Description: partial contains 5.8S ribosomal RNA, internal transcribed spacer 2, and large subunit ribosomal RNA
Rfam family: 5.8S ribosomal RNA (bases 1-122)
Source: RNAcentral
GAUGAAGAACGUAGCGAAAUGCGAUACUUGGUGUGAAUUGCAGAAUCCCGUGAACCAUCGAGUCUUUGAACGCAAGUUGCGCCUCAAGCCAUUAGGUUGAGGGCACGUCUGCCUGGGCGUCACAUAUCGUUGCCUGAUGCCAGUUUCCUCGUGAUGGGUGACUGUGCAGGGCGAAUGAUGGCUUCCCGUGAGCAUUGUUGCCUCAUGGUUGGUUGAAAAUUGAGUCCUUGGUAGGGAGCGCCGUGAUAGAUGGUGGUUGAGUGACGAACGAGACCCAAUCAUGUGAGACCCCUACCGAAUUUGGCCUUCAUAACCCACAUGCGUCUUUGGAACGCUCAUGACGAGACCUCAGGUCAGGCGGGGCUACCCGCUGAGUUUAAGCAUAUCAAUAGCGGAGGA